AUGUCAAAGAUUAAUGUGGAUGCAGCAGUUGCAGAAAGGCGCGGCGUGGGAACCAUUGCAGCUAUAACAAGAGACGAGCAUGGCUAGUUCUUGGGGGCGUCUACACUGGGCUUCACGUCGAUCACCAACCCGACCAUCCUGGAAGCUUUGGCAGUGAGGGAAGCACUAGCAUUGGCGGAAGAUCUGAAUUUGCAGUCAAUACAUAUUGCCUCCGAUUGCAAAGAGGUGAUAGAUAGCAUCAAGGAGAAGAACAGGGCGGAAUAUGGAGCGAUCGUGCAUGAAAUCAUAGCCUACUCUAGCAGUUUUUAUUCCUGUAAUUUCAUUCAUGAAUUUAGGAGCUCCAAUAUGGAGGCUCACAAUUUAGCAAAGCAUGCUUUGAAACUCGGGGCCGGCCGCUGUGUGUGGUUAGGUCAUCAUGGAAACAUCUCUUUCGUCCCGGCUCAACUGGUGACGACGUAA
RNAcentral lists this ribosomal RNA (459 nucleotides) under Triticum aestivum (bread wheat). Its description in RNAcentral is "partial small subunit ribosomal RNA". The record is from RNAcentral. Lineage: Eukaryota; Viridiplantae; Streptophyta; Magnoliopsida; Poales; Poaceae.